UGAUGAAUCAAUGCUUGCUCCCCAGUACAAAGGCUUGUAUGGAGUCAUGAAAGGACUCUGCAAGGUUGGAGGAUGGAGGAUGGAUCAGGAAGGAAGGACAGUGGAUGUUACACCAGAUGGUGAACUCUAUACAUUAGAGCCAGAGGACGCACAUCUGAGUUGGAUUCUUUCGGGAAACGUGAUGGCUUGAGACUGCCCCUGAACCAGCCAUUUGUCUUGCAAAUGAAAGUUCUUGGGCACACAAAAGGACUCAGAAAGAGUGCUUGGAUCAGCAUAAAUUCAUCAUCAUUAGGGUAAAGCCACCUCAAAGAAUAUGCCUUAAUGAAUGUGAUUCGAAGAUAUCAGAUCUUCAAAAUCAUAAAUCAGGAUGACCACUGGUAGUGAUGUCACAGAGAGGGAGAGAGACAGAUGAUCUUAAACAAGCUUCUUGCCCAGUGAAGAGCUUGGCAUAAGACUGAUCUCAUGACCCUGAGAUCAUGGCCUGAGGCGAAAUGAAGAGUCGGAUGCUUAACCACUGAGCCACCCAAGUGCCCCAGCCACAAAAUAUCUUAAAAUUAAGGUAUAUACAUUGUUUUUUUAG
This is a long non-coding RNA of Canis lupus familiaris (dog), 580 nucleotides long. RefSeq lists it as uncharacterized. The transcript has 3 exons. The record is from RefSeq and is a predicted model, not a curated record. Lineage: Eukaryota; Metazoa; Chordata; Mammalia; Carnivora; Canidae.